GACGAACGCUGGCGGCGUGCUUAACACAUGCAAGUCGAACGGAAAGGCCCUGCUUUUGUGGGGUGCUCGAGUGGCGAACGGGUGAGUAACACGUGAGUAACCUGCCCUGGACUUUGGGAUAACUUCAGGAAACUGGGGCUAAUACCGGAUAGGAGCUCCUGCUGCAUGGUGGGGGUUGGAAAGUUUCGGCGGUUGGGGAUGGACUCGCGGCUUAUCAGCUUGUUGGUGGGGUAGUGGCUUACCAAGGCUUUGACGGGUAGCCGGCCUGAGAGGGUGACCGGCCCCAUUGGGACUGAGAUACGGCCCAGACUCCUACGGGAGGCAGCAGUGGGGAAUAUUGCACGAUGGGCGGAAGCCUGAUGCAGCAACGCCGCGUGCGGGAUGACGGCCUUCGGGUUGUAAACCGCUUUCGCCUGUGACGAAGCGUGAGUGACGGUAAUGGGUAAAGAAGCACCGGCUAACUACGUG
RNAcentral lists this ribosomal RNA (468 nucleotides) under uncultured bacterium. RNAcentral's name for it is "partial 16S ribosomal RNA". It matches the Rfam family "Bacterial small subunit ribosomal RNA", at positions 28 to 507 of the family's 1533-position model. The record is from RNAcentral.